This 236-nucleotide ribosomal RNA is filed under the name uncultured Lactobacillus sp. RNAcentral's name for it is "partial 16S ribosomal RNA". It matches the Rfam family "Bacterial small subunit ribosomal RNA", at positions 125 to 355 of the family's 1533-position model. The record is from RNAcentral. Lineage: Bacteria; Bacillati; Bacillota; Bacilli; Lactobacillales; Lactobacillaceae.
CCUGCCCAAGAGAUCGGGAUAACACCUGAAACAGAUGCUAAUACCGGAUAACAACAGAUGAUGCCUAUCAACUGUUUAAAAGAUGGUUCUGCUAUCACUCUUGGAUGGACCUGCGGUGCAUUAGCUAGUUGGUAGGGUAACGGCCUACCAAGGCGAUGAUGCAUAGCCGAGUUGAGAGACUGAUCGGCCACAUUGGGACUGAGACACGGCCCAAACUCCUACGGGAGGCAGCAGCU